CCAGAAAGGGACGGCUAANUACGUGCCAGCAGCCGCGGUAAUACGUAGNUCCCGAGCGUUGUCCGGAUUUAUUGGGCGUAAAGCGAGCGCAGGCGGUUAGAUAAGUCUGAAGUUAAAGGCUGUGGCUUAACCAUAGUACGCUUUGGAAACUGUUUAACUUGAGUGCAGAAGGGGAGAGUGGAAUUCCAUGUGUAGCGGUGAAAUGCGUAGAUAUAUGGAGGAACACCGGUGGCGAAAGCGGCUCUCUGGUCUGUAACUGACGCUGAGGCUCGAAAGCGUGGGGAGCGAACAGGAUUAGAUACCCUGGUAGUCCACGCCGUAAACGAUGAGUGCUAGGUGUUAGGCCCUUUCCGGGGCUUAGUGCCGCAGCUAACGCAUUAAGCACUCCGCCUGGGGAGUACGACCGCAAGGUUGAAACUCAAAGGAAUUGACGGGGGCCCGCACAAGCGGUGGAGCAUGUGGUUUAAUUCGAAGCAACGCGAAGAACCUUACCAGGUCUUGACAUCCCGAUGCCCGCUCUAGAGAUAGAGUUUUACUUCGGUACAUCGGUGACAGGUGGUGCAUGGUUGUCGUCAGCUCGUGUCGUGAGAUGUUGGGUUAAGUCCCGCAACGAGCGCAACCCUUAUUGUUAGUUGCCAUCAUUCAGUUGGGCACUCUAGCGAGACUGCCGGUAAUAAACCGGAGGAAGGUGGGGAUGACGUCAAAUCAUCAUGCCCCUUAUGACCUGGGCUACACACGUGCUACAAUGGCUGGUACAACGAGUCGCAAGUCGGUGACGGCAAGCUAAUCUCUUAAAGCCAGUCUCAGUUCGGAUUGUAGGCUGCAACUCGCCUACAUGAAGUCGGAAUCGCUAGUAAUCGCGGAUCAGCACGCCGCGGUGAAUACGUUCCCGGGCCUUGUACACACCGCCCGUCACACCACGAGAGUUUGUAACACCCGAAGUCGGUGAGGUANCCU
RNAcentral lists this ribosomal RNA (957 nucleotides) under uncultured bacterium. RNAcentral describes it as "bacterial SSU rRNA". It matches the Rfam family "Bacterial small subunit ribosomal RNA", at positions 483 to 1441 of the family's 1533-position model. The record is from RNAcentral.